This 468-nucleotide ribosomal RNA is filed under the name uncultured bacterium. RNAcentral describes it as "partial 16S ribosomal RNA". It matches the Rfam family "Bacterial small subunit ribosomal RNA", at positions 28 to 507 of the family's 1533-position model. The record is from RNAcentral.
GACGAACGCUGGCGGCGUGCUUAACACAUGCAAGUCGAACGGAAACGCCCUGCUUUUUUGGUGUGCUCGAGUGGCGAACGGGUGAGUAACACGUGAGUAACCUGCCCUUGACUUUGGUAUAACUUCAGGAAACUGGGGCUAAUACCGUAUAGGAGCUCCUCCUGCAUGGUGGGGGUUGGAUCUUCUCGGCGGUUGGGGAUGGACUCGCGGCUUAUCAGCUUGUUGGUGGGGUAGUGGCUUACCAAGGCUUUGACGGGUAGCCGGCAUGAGAGGGUGACCGGCGACAUUGGGACUGAGAUACGGCCCAGACUCCAACGGGGGGCAGCAGUGGGGAAUAUUGCACAAUGGGAGGGAGCCUGAUGAAGAAACGCCGCGGGCGGGAUGACGGCCUGCGGGGUGUAAACCGCUGUAGCCUGUGACGAAGCGUGAGUGACGGUAAUGGGUAAAGAAGCACCGGCUAACUACGUG